Molecule: transfer RNA, 84 nt
Filed under: Candida viswanathii
Lineage: Eukaryota; Fungi; Ascomycota; Pichiomycetes; Serinales; Debaryomycetaceae
Description: tRNA-Ser
Rfam family: tRNA
About the family: Transfer RNA (tRNA) molecules are approximately 80 nucleotides in length. Their secondary structure includes four short double-helical elements and three loops (D, anti-codon, and T loops).
Source: RNAcentral
GGAUGUAUGGCUGAGUGGCUUAAAGCAUGAUAUUUGAGCUAUCAAGAUCUUAUUGAUCCACGUGUUCGAAUCACGUUACAUCCG